Long non-coding RNA from Gracilinanus agilis (Agile Gracile Mouse Opossum), 307 nucleotides. RefSeq lists it as uncharacterized. The record is from RefSeq and is a predicted model, not a curated record. NCBI's taxonomy places the organism in Eukaryota, Metazoa, Chordata, Mammalia, Didelphimorphia, Didelphidae. The transcript is spliced from 2 exons.
AGCUACUGGAGCUAGGAGCAAGACGGUUUCUCAGCAGCUCUCGGGCAACUUGUCGCAGGUUUGGCUAAAACAUGGCAUCUCUCUUUGUAAAGAAAAUGAUGGUUAUGAUCACCAGUCCUCUUCUCCAUGUGAGCAGAUAUUCAGCUAAACCUUCCUCGAUCUCUGCGUUUCUGUUUUCAUCGCGACAAAAUACAGUUUCCUUAGAUGCUGAUUCUAUGAAGUAUAGAACAAUAACUCAUCCAUUUCUUUCCCAUUAUCUGCUAAGAUCCUUUCAGCCUACUCUUGGGUUCAAAACAAAAGCUGUCCU